CGCCCACCGCGCGGAGGACAACUUUUAGCCGGCAGCCCAGACCAGCGCGGCACCUGUCUCCGGAGUCUCCACCGCUCCUCCCGAUUCAUCCCAGGGAAAUUCUCAAGAAUACGCUCUACAAAUCUACGUGCGCAUCAUUUUCACCUCGCGUCGCGCCCGGGAGGAAGGAACGAGGCAAGGAGCUAAAGCAGCGUGCGUUCAGCCCUGGGGCAUUUUAUUAAUGCUUUUACGAGUUAGAAGAGUUGGGAUAAUUUGCCAUCUGGAGUUUCUCUGCCUUGCUGAUCUGAGCUCAGACCUGCCAAUUUACCAGAGAUAAUUGAUAACACCCUGUAACAGCUGAGAGGAAAAUGGAAGAAACGGAGAUACUUUUAGUGAAGCAGAAUAAACCACUGAACAGGAAAAAUGAGGAAGCUGUGAGUACCAGUGGAAGGAACGAGCCAGGAAGAGGGACUGGAACCAUCUCAGAAGCCAUGCCCCUCAGGCUGGAACUUGCCCUGUCUCCUCGCAGAUGAGCUACCUCUUGUGUUUAAGAAUUAAAGGAAGAUGAGCUAGGAAUCAAGAAAUACGCAGAACUGAUUCCUGUCACUGGCGCCACCCUGCCACUUGCCCAGAGCUGUGGUAUAAAUUUUUUUAAUAGGCUGAAAUAAAAAUAUGAAUAGCAUUUUGGUAUUAAGCAUUAAAUUGAUAAAGGCUAUGAGAUACACCUGCUCUCAACCAUGUUAAUUUUUUAUUAUUGGUAUUAAUAAAUUAUUACUUACUAACAUAUUAACAAGAAUUGCAUUGAGAAACAAAGCAUCCACAGGCCAAAUCUUCUGAAUUUCAAAUGUUUAUAUUAAUGCGUUGUAUUCUAGAAAAGUAGAAUUGUCUUAAGUAGCUUUGUAAUAUAAAGUCAUCUAUCAGCCCAUUACACCUAUUAGAAUGUUUUAACCUUUAUUUCCCACUUUUUUGUUUCUAGACUGAGUGUACUUGGUCUGGUAUUUGUGGCAUAACUUACGGAACACAUAAGAAUGAUACAGAUACUAUUUAAUGAUGACCUAAUACAAGCUUAGAUAGCUAAGGUGAAAGCUUCUAUGGCCUUAACAUUUUCCUCUUGAAGAAUGUAUUUUCUGUAAUAAAAUACAGUGGCUACUUGAAAUCUAUAAACUUAUGUGAGGUCUGGAUAAAUCUGAGCAACUUUCUUCUUUGUGCUCCAGGAACCUACGCACUAUAUAUAUAAAUAAAGCUUAAGUAAACAU
This 1235-nucleotide long non-coding RNA is filed under the name Homo sapiens (human). RNAcentral's name for it is "LHRI_LNC1335.18". Lineage: Eukaryota; Metazoa; Chordata; Mammalia; Primates; Hominidae. The record is from RNAcentral.